This 72-nucleotide transfer RNA is filed under the name Camelus bactrianus (Bactrian camel). It matches the Rfam family "tRNA". From Rfam's summary of the family: Transfer RNA (tRNA) molecules are approximately 80 nucleotides in length. Their secondary structure includes four short double-helical elements and three loops (D, anti-codon, and T loops). The record is from Rfam by way of RNAcentral. Lineage: Eukaryota; Metazoa; Chordata; Mammalia; Artiodactyla; Camelidae. RNAcentral also lists the same sequence under 1 other name.
GAGGGUAGAGCUCAAGGAUAGAGCGUGUGCUUAGCAUGUAUGAGGUCCUGGGUUCAACCCCCAGUCCCUCCA